GGAGUUAGCCGGUGCUUCUUCUGUGAGUGAUGUCCUUCCUGCCGGUUAUUGACCCGCAGGCCUUCUUCCUCACUGAAAGUGCUUUACAACCCGAAGGCCUUCUUCACACACGCGGCAUGGCUGGAUCAGGGUUGCCCCCAUUGUCCAAUAUUCCCCACUGCUGCCUCCCGUAGGAGUCUGGGCCGUGUCUCAGUCCCAGUGUGGCUGAUCAUCCUCUCAGACCAGCUACGGAUCGUCGCCUUGGUGAGCCGUUACCUCACCAACCAGCUAAUCCGACAUAGGCUCAUCCGAUAGCGCGAGGCCCGAAGGUCCCCCGCUUUCCCCCGUAGGGCGUAUGCGGUAUUAGCCUGGGUUUCCCCAGGGUUAUCCCCCACUACCGGGCAGAUUCCUAUGCAUUACUCACCCGUCCGCCGCUCGCCACCAGGGAGCAAGCUCCCCGUGCUGCCGCUCGACUUGCAUGUGUAGCUCGCCGCCACGCGUCAUCUGAGCCAGAAUACAACUACUGA
RNAcentral lists this ribosomal RNA (506 nucleotides) under uncultured bacterium. RNAcentral describes it as "partial 16S ribosomal RNA". The record is from RNAcentral.